RNA transcript from Argiope bruennichi, 1616 nucleotides. It is a transcript of the gene named NADH dehydrogenase [ubiquinone] 1 alpha subcomplex subunit 9, mitochondrial-like, with no coding region annotated. The transcript has 12 exons. NCBI's taxonomy places the organism in Eukaryota, Metazoa, Arthropoda, Arachnida, Araneae, Araneidae. The record is from RefSeq and is a predicted model, not a curated record.
AUACCUCUAAACUUUGACAAGGGCAUGGACGAAUGUAAACACGAUGGCAUCGGUUAUGUUUCGUUUACCUAAAACUACUUCACCAAUCCAGGUUAUAUUCUUAAGACAGACACCAGCAAGAUUUGCAAGCACUGAUGUUGUAGAAACAGAAGAUAAGAAAUUUCCUAAAGUUAAAUCAGAUUAUUAUAGUUUGAAAAGAGGUACAGGAGGUCGAUCAUCUUUCAGUGGAAAAGUAGCUACCGUGUUUGGUGCUACUGGGUUUCUAGGCCGUGCUGUUGUUAAUCAAUUAGGAAAAAAUGGAACUCAAGUGAUUAUUCCAUAUAGAGGAGAUCCAUAUUUAGUUACUAGGUUGAAAAUGAGUGGUGAUUUGGGUCAAAUACUGUUUACACACUUCCAUCUCAAAGAUGAAGAGUCAUUGUAUAAAGCAAUGAGACAUUCAAAUGUUGUUAUCAAUCUUAUUGGCAAACCAUUUGAGACACCCAACUUUACUUUUGAAGAUGUACAUGUCACUGGAGCUCGAAACAUUGCACGCAUUGCUAGAGAAUGUGGGGUUCAGACUCUCAUUCACAUGUCAUCAUUGAAUGCUUGUGAAAAGCCUAAACCUGUUAUUUUAAGGAAAGGCUCUCAAUUUUUAGCUUCAAAGUGGCGUGGGGAACAAGCUGUAAGAGAAGAAUUCCCAGAUGCAAUUAUUUUUCGUCCAUCUGAUAUGUGGGGCCAACAAGACCACUUCUUAAAUUAUUAUAUGCAUCAAAUGAGAAGAACUUGGCGUGCCAUGUCCUUGUGGAAUAAGGGAGUUGGUAUUGUUAAACAACCAGUUUUCUAUUCAGAUGUUGCAAAAGGUAUCCUUAAAUCUAUAUUUGAUCCUGCUGCUGCUGGUCAUACAUUUCAAGCUGUUGGACCACAUCGAUAUGAACUUUCAGAACUCAUGGAUUGGUUUCAUCGAAUUAUGAACAGAACACGUGAAAGAAUGUACUAUAGAUUAGACAUCCGUUUGGAUGCUACGUUUUGGGCUAGGCUAAUUUUGAGCGAAAUGUUGCUAACUCGUUACAGACAACUUUCUUGGGAAAGAUUGGAAAGGGAAUGUAUUACUGAUCAAGUUCUACCUGAACUCCCUACUCUAGAAGAUCUCGAAGUGAAUCUUACUCCCUUGGAAGAGAGAAUAUUCUAUGAGCUGAAAAUCUACAGGCUUCAUGCAUACCAUGAUCCUUUGCUUUCAGAAUAUAUAAGACCAGUAGAACCAUGCCCUUUGGCCAGAGAAUGAAUGAAUGAACAUGGUUUUUAAAAGGAACAGUCUAUGUCAAUCGGAUACAGCAUUACAGAAUGAAAGGAGAACAUUGUUGCAUAUAUAAUUUGUUUCAAGCAAAUAUAUGCUUUGCAAAGUAUUUAAACAUGAGAAAUAGAACAAAGAAAAGAAAGAUAGGUUUAGUGUCUGGAGAACAUAUAAAAGCUGUAGUGUUGCUGCUUUACCCUUUAUAUUUUCCUAAACACUUAAAGUUAUUUUAUACAUAAACUUGCCAAAUAUGUUUUAUUUUAAUUCUUCAUAGCAUACAGUAUCAAAUUUGAUGCAUAAUUUAUUUUUUAUGUUAAUAAUGAAUAAAUAUUUCUUAAGAGUAGAA